This 305-nucleotide ribosomal RNA is filed under the name uncultured bacterium. Its description in RNAcentral is "bacterial SSU rRNA". It matches the Rfam family "Bacterial small subunit ribosomal RNA", at positions 337 to 639 of the family's 1533-position model. The record is from RNAcentral.
UCCUACGGGGGGCAGCAGUGAGGAAUAUUGGUCAAUGGGCGGAAGCCUGAACCAGCCAAGUCGCGUGAGGGAAUAAGGCCCUACGGGUCGUAAACCUCUUUUGCCGGGGAGCAAGGGCCGGGACGAGUCCCGGUCCGGAGAGUACCCGGAGAAAAAGCAUCGGCUAACUCCGUGCCAGCAGCCGCGGUAAUACGGAGGAUGCGAGCGUUAUCCGGAUUUAUUGGGUUUAGAGGGUGCGUAGGCGGGCUUUUAAGUCAGCGGUAAAAAUUCGGGGCGCAACCCCGUCGGGCCGGUGAAACUGGGGG